GAAAAACCUAGGGGUAAGACAGGAAUAAAGACACAGAGCUUCUAGAGAAUGGACUUGAGGAUAUGGGAAGGCAGAAGGGUAAGCUGUGACAAAGUGAGUCAGUGGCAUGGACAUAUAUACACUAUCAAACGUAAGGUAGAUAGCUAGUGGGAAGCAGCCGCAUAGCAGAGGGAGAACAGCUCGGUGCUUUGUGACCACCUAGAGGGGUGGGAUAGGGAGGGUUGGAGGGAGGGAGACGCAAGAGGGAAGAGAUAUGGGGACAUAUGUAUAUGUAUAACUGAUUCACUUUGUUAUAAAGCAGAAACUAAAACACCAUUGUAAAGCAAUUAUAGUCCAAUAAAGAUGUAAAAAAAGAAAAAGAAAAAAAAAAAACGCAGGAAGCUAUUAGCACCCAGUGAAGGGUGAUUGCGUUCAUUGAGUAUCACACAGUGUUUUCCAGACUCCUGAUGAAUAGCAAACACUGUGGAGGUGCAGAGGAAGGACCGGCCCAGGCACAGUGCACACCAGCAGCACAUUGUGCCCCACCAGUUUGACCUUGGGUCACUAGCAAAGUGUCCCUGCAGCAAGGUGCAUGGCGGAGGGAGCUGGGUUGUGGUGCCGUUCCUUUCUUAGGCCAAUUUAAAUCUGCUCCCAGGCAGAACUGGGACUGCUAGAGUCCACAGUUGGAGUGGAAGUUGCCGAAACAAUUUCUUUAGUGUUUCUGCCAAGUGUUGUAAAUAAAAUAAAUUUAACAAACUAUUCAAAAGACAUGACAAGCUCAUUGUCCGCUCUGUCUGCAGGGAGGAUCAGCCACAUGUACAAAAAGCAGCAGAUGGAGUCUCAUGGAAGAGAGAGACUGACCAGGAGCCUGGAGACCCAGGUUUAAGCCUUAGCAGAUGGCCUCGGUUUAUUGAGGCCUCUGGUGACCUUAGCAGGAACAGCCAUCAUAUUGCUAACCUCAGUGGGUUGAGGUUAAGGAAUGAAUGGAGGUGAGAAGAAUGCUAGUAUGGAUAUCGUUUGCAAGAAGCUUGAUUGUGAAGUGAAAGAAAGAUUUAGGGGUCUCUGAGAGGUGGUC
This 1054-nucleotide long non-coding RNA is filed under the name Monodon monoceros (narwhal). RNAcentral describes it as "lncRNA (ENSMMNG00015019330.1)". Lineage: Eukaryota; Metazoa; Chordata; Mammalia; Artiodactyla; Monodontidae. The record is from RNAcentral.